RNAcentral lists this ribosomal RNA (371 nucleotides) under uncultured organism. RNAcentral's name for it is "partial 16S ribosomal RNA". It matches the Rfam family "Bacterial small subunit ribosomal RNA", at positions 527 to 896 of the family's 1533-position model. The record is from RNAcentral.
GAAGGGGGCUAGCGUUGCUCGGAAUCACUGGGGCGUAAAGGGGCGCGUAGGCGGCUGAUUUAGUCGAGGGUGAAAGCCUGUGGCUCAACCACAGAAUUGCCUUCGAUACUGGUUGGCUUGAGACCGGAAGAGGACAGCGGAACUGCGAGUGUAGAGGUGAAAUUCGUAGAUAUUCGCAAGAACACCAGUGGCGAAGGCGGCUGUCUGGUCCGGUUCUGACGCUGAGGCGCGAAAGCGUGGGGAGCAAACAGGAUUAGAUACCCUGGUAGUCCACGCUGUAAACGAUGAAUGCUAGCCGUUGGUCUGCAUGCAGGUCAGUGGCGCCGCUAACGCAUUAAGCAUUCCGCCUGGGGAGUACGGUCGCAAGAUUA